CAAAUAUUGGUGCAUAAAGGUAAAUUACGAAUUUCUAAUCCAUGUCUGUUCUAUUGUCAUAAUGAAUCAAGACUUUUUUUUUAGUACAUAUUAAGGCCUAGAUUAAUAUAUUGUUUGUUUCCCCAAUCCCGACCCUGCCGAGCCAGGUGUGGGUAGGUAGGUAGGUAGGGAAAUAAUUUUAUUUUUCCAAAAAGCUUGAACAUUAUCGGACGAUCCAGCAAGCCUGAAACCAGAAAUGAAUAAAAUAAUAUUUGACUUGGUUUUGACAAUAAAAUUUUAUGAGUAGCACCAUUUUUGCAGGGUCGGUCAGGAUUGGGGAAACAAACAAUAUUUUAUUUU
RNAcentral lists this long non-coding RNA (339 nucleotides) under Mytilus galloprovincialis (Mediterranean mussel). The record is from RNAcentral. Lineage: Eukaryota; Metazoa; Mollusca; Bivalvia; Mytilida; Mytilidae.